Molecule: transfer RNA, 76 nt
Filed under: Enterobacter hormaechei subsp. xiangfangensis
Lineage: Bacteria; Pseudomonadati; Pseudomonadota; Gammaproteobacteria; Enterobacterales; Enterobacteriaceae
Also listed under: 1 other name
Description: tRNA-Ala
Rfam family: tRNA
About the family: Transfer RNA (tRNA) molecules are approximately 80 nucleotides in length. Their secondary structure includes four short double-helical elements and three loops (D, anti-codon, and T loops).
Source: RNAcentral
GGGGCUGUAGUUUAUUUGGAUAAAAUCACAGGCUUGCACCUUGUAGAACUGAGUUCGAUUCUCAGUGGCUCCACCA